GCUGGUGACAAUCUUGGACUGCUAGGUGAGUAUGCCAGUGAUGGGCUGUAUUUUGCUGAUUGGGGGUUGUAACUUGGCGAGGUUGGGCUGUAGCCAGGGGAGGUUGGGCUAUAGGCUGGUGAAGUGGGGCUGUAGGAUGGGGAUGUGGGGCUGUAAGAUGGGGAUGUGGGGCUGUAUGAUGGGGAGGUGGGGCUGUAUGAUGGGGAGGUAGGGCUGUACGCAGGUGAUGUUGGACUGUACGCAGGUGAAGUGGGACUGUACGCAGGUGAAGUGGGGCUGUAACUGGGGGAUGUGGGGCUGUAGCUGGGGGAUGUGGGGCUGUAGCUCGGGGAAGUGGGGCUGUAGCUGGGGGAA
RNAcentral lists this long non-coding RNA (354 nucleotides) under Populus trichocarpa (black cottonwood). RNAcentral describes it as "long non-coding RNA (PTRI_LNC001473)". The record is from RNAcentral. Lineage: Eukaryota; Viridiplantae; Streptophyta; Magnoliopsida; Malpighiales; Salicaceae.